CGAUGAGGUAGAGGUUGCAAUAAUUAAUAGUAAUGUACUUGAAACCUAAUGGGGUUGUUGAUGGUAUGUUGAAAGGAAUUGUUGCCGAAGUACGAGAGAUCCAUUUCAUCUUUCUUACUGGGUUUACAUCAAAUAGGUGUAAAACUGUCACAGAUAUUUUCUGUGGAGAGCUACGAUGAGA
This 181-nucleotide non-coding RNA is filed under the name Domibacillus aminovorans. Its description in RNAcentral is "Bacillus aminovorans Lysine sequence". It matches the Rfam family "Lysine riboswitch aptamer". Rfam says of the family: Riboswitches are metabolite binding domains within certain messenger RNAs that serve as precision sensors for their corresponding targets. The record is from RNAcentral. Lineage: Bacteria; Bacillati; Bacillota; Bacilli; Caryophanales; Bacillaceae.